AUGAAUGCGGGCGGAGUGUGGGCAAUAAAUCCCCACCGCCCGGUGGCUGGGAAACGUAACGCAUCCAAAUUCCCACCCUCUCCCACAGCAACGAGUGAACCCUUGCUCAGGAGAGCCGAGGCGAUGGCGGAUUGGAGGAUGAAGAUGGAGAGGGCCAUCGUAGAGCUGGCGAGCGGCGACGAAGCGAAGCUGGCGAGGGCUCGCGAGGUGGUGUCCUGGUUCGCCACAAGGAGAGAGAUGCGACGUGCAGCGAAGAGGGUCUUCAGGAACCUGACCGUGGAGGAAGACGAGAGGCUCGCCCCCAACGGAUUCACCACUCCGACGGGUGCCCCGGUGAGCGCUCUGGCCGCGUUGGUUUGGGCCAUGGAGGAAAUAGAGUCGGGGGAUCCAUCCCAGAGGGCGAAGUGGUGGGGAUUCAGAUCCCGCCGCCGCCACCCUGCGGGACCAGAGGAGUUCGUGGUCGGGGCGGUGAUGGCGAUCCCCACCCCCAGGACUCGCUGGGUUCCGAUCCCGAUCGAAGACAGCGAGGAGGAGCUGGAUUCGGAGAUGGAGGAGCUAGAGCAGAUUCCAGAUCUGGGCGAGAGCAGUGGCGGGGGGAAGAAGAAGGAGAAGGUGCUGUUGCCAAGGCGAUCCCCUCGCUUCCUGCGCCGCUCACCAGGCCUCCUCAACCUCUCCAAACCUCCAGCGAUGUAG
Molecule: ribosomal RNA, 693 nt
Filed under: Triticum aestivum (bread wheat)
Lineage: Eukaryota; Viridiplantae; Streptophyta; Magnoliopsida; Poales; Poaceae
Description: partial small subunit ribosomal RNA
Source: RNAcentral